AGGGGGCAGUGUAGUGUUGGUCACACACGCACAGGUGUGGGGGAUUACAGGUAUUAGCUGGGAGUUCAUGUGUUUGCUUUUGUGUUUGCUUUACAAGGGAAAAAAAGCUCCAUCCCCCUGGAAAAGAAGGAAAGAAGGGAAGAAUAAUGUGGAUUUAUUGAGGAGAAAGAGAAGUAAAUAUUUGGUGGCGUUUAAGAAGUGUUUGUGUUCCACCUGCAUGACAAGAUGAGGACUUUUUUUAAGGCAGCACUUCCAACAAGAAGAAGAUGAGGACAUGUUUGAGGCAGCACUUCCAACAAGAAGAAGAUGAGGACAUGUUUGAGGCAGCACUUCCAACAAGAAGAAGAUGAGGACAUGUUUGAGGCAGCACUUCCAACAAGAAGAAGAUGAGGACAUGUUUGAGGCAGCACUUCCAACAAGAAGAAGAUGAGGACAUGUUUGAGGCAGCACUUCCAACAAGAAGAAGGACUAGAAGUGACGUCAUACCUGAGUGGAAAAAGUUUGGACACCCCUGCCAUAUGGUCUCCACAUCAAAGGUCCAUUUCCCUACGAAGACCAUGCAUCCUGCCCAUCAACCAAUGGCCUCACCAGCCAAGUUUGAUCACUCUAUGGAGGCUGUACACCCCUCCCAUCCCCACACCGCUGGCCCAUCACCAAAUGUCCACACCUAUGGUCCUUCACCCGGCGUACACAAUAGCUUGCUACCUGAAUCCACCUGAGAAUAAAAAGGCAGCUUUCCUGGCACCAGACAGGAGAGAUGCAGGCAACCCAUCUAUUGAGGACACUAUCUGUUAUCAACCACAGGCAGAAAAAUCAUGGACGCCAUGUGAUGGAUGUAGGGAGGAGUUGGAAAAAAUGUGGGCAGAAAAAGAAGGAAUUGAAGAAGUCCUCUUGAAAAUAGAUCCGGUCCAAGUCAGAGUACUUCAAACUCUCUGCGACUUGGUUGGAGACAAAUACAGCGACGGCCCUCCUCAACAAUCGGGCCAGCAAGAGCUCUUUCCUGAGAGCGGCGUAUUCAUAUCAUUGUUCCGCCUUGCUGCCAUGAGACAUGCUGCAGAGCCCAAAUGUAUGCCUUUAUUUGGACCUCUUUUUUCUACAGUAGAGGAGUGUCAAAAUGCUGUCCCUUUUUGACGCCCUGGAAACAAACCUGCAGGAACACCAAAGCGCAUCCUUAAGCGGAAAAAAGUGGAAGGAAUCCUUACGUAUGUCCUGAGAUGCAGUACCCUUCCUGAUUGGGACGAUAUUGAGGAGGUCAAGCUCAAGAAAGCUUUGGUAAACAAAAGUCAGGCCAGAGAGGGUUUGAAGUAGGCCCUUGUACCUGUCAAGUUCAUUCUAUGGUAGGAUGUUCAAUAUUUUGGUCUAGGUUUGCGCAGUAUAUGUUGUCAAAAAUGGCCCUAUGAUGUAGCUUUUAGUACCAGGUUAUACUGUGAUAAUGCAUAUUGAGCUGUGCUGUGCCAAGCAAAUUUGGCAGUGAUGCAACCUCACUAACAAGCUAGCGGCUAAUAUCCUUUUACAGUUCAAAGUUGUUUCCAAAUCAAAAAAAAAUGACGCAGUACGUUACUGCUUACAUAAUCAGGUAUAUUAGUAGCUUUUGUAACCAAUUUCAACAUGUUUCAAUGAUCAUUUGUGUAGCAAAUGUUAUAUUGUUAUGGCAGGAGGCUGUUCUAUUGUUUACAACAGUGUUUCUUAAUCCUAGGGCUGGGGCCCACUGUUUGGCUGCGAGUACCCCUUGGAAGCCGCCAAUAAAUAUCUGUUUCUUAGCUGUGGUCCGUCCAUAUGGGCCGCAAUGGUACUCGCUUGUAAUCCACUUUAGUGUAGAAGGACUCAUUCAGUGUUUAUAUUUCAUUUGGCCCCAGACCCCUCUGUAGUGGAACAUUCUGAGACCCCUCUGUGGUGGAAAAGUUGGUCGUGCCCCAAGGUUAAAAAUGUUAAGAAUCCCUGCUUUUCAAUGUGUGAUUAUUUUUUGGUAUGUAGACCAGUUCCAGACAGCACGGUUACAAUUUUAUAAAUGUAUUUCAGUUUUUGCUUGGAAUAUUUCAAAAAUGGAAAUGUUGUCAUUUACUCACCUUCUUACUGAGAUGAAGUCAAGUGUUUUUUGAACUAAGGUACCUGCUUUGCUCAACAAGGAGUUCAAAAAACUACACCUGACUUUUUCACAAUAACAAAGUGAGUACCUCAGGUCAAAUUCAUUUAUUUUUGUAUUUGUUUUAUUUUCUGUAUAUUGUUUUCUAUGUUGUCUUAAGUAUUGUAAAUGACAAUAUGUACAUGAUGUAUGUACUAAUUUACUACAUUUACAUUUUGUUAUUUCAUCUAUUUUUAAAUUAUAUUUUAAAAUAAAGUGAUA
Molecule: RNA transcript, 2344 nt
Organism: Nerophis ophidion (straightnose pipefish)
Lineage: Eukaryota; Metazoa; Chordata; Actinopteri; Syngnathiformes; Syngnathidae
Exons: 4
Source: RefSeq, a predicted model, not a curated record